UGAGGCAGGCGGAAUUCGUGGUGUAGCGGUGAAAUGCCUAGAUAUCACGAAGAACUCCGAUUGCGAAGGCAGCCUGCUAAGCUGCAACUGACAUUGAGGCUCGAAAGUGUGGGUAUCAAACAGGAUUAGAUACCCUGGUAGUCCACACGGUAAACGAUGAAUACUCGCUGUUUGCGAUAUACAGCAAGCGGCCAAGCGAAAGCGUUAAGUAUUCCACCUGGGGAGUACGCCGGCAACGGUGAAACUCAAAGGAAUUGACGGGGGCCCGCACAAGCGGAGGAACAUGUGGUUUAAUUCGAUGAUACGCGAGGAACCUUACCCGGGCUUAAAUUGCAGAUGAAUUACGGUGAAAGCCGUAAGCCGCAAGGCAUCUGUGAAGGUGCUGCAUGGUUGUCGUCAGCUCGUGCCGUGAGGUGUCGGCUUAAGUGCCAUAACGAGCGCAACCCUUGUUGUCAGUUACUAACAGGUUCCGCUGAGGACUCUGACAAGACUGCCAUCGUAAGAUGUGAGGAAGGUGGGGAUGACGUCAAAUCAGCACGGCCCUUACGUCCGGGGCUACACACGUGUUACAAUGGGGGGUACAGAGGGCCGCUACCACGCGAGUGGAUGCCAAUCCCCAAAACCUCUCUCAGUUCGGACUGGAGUCUGCAACCCGACUCCACGAAGCUGGAUUCGCUAGUAAUCGCGCAUCAGCCACGGCGCGGUGAAUACGUUCCCGGGCCUUGUACACACCGCCCGUCAAGCCAUGGGAGCCGGGGGUACCUGAAGUGCGUAACCGCGAGGAGCGCCCUAGGGUAAAACUGGU
This 805-nucleotide ribosomal RNA is filed under the name uncultured organism. Its description in RNAcentral is "SSU rRNA". It matches the Rfam family "Bacterial small subunit ribosomal RNA", at positions 653 to 1472 of the family's 1533-position model. The record is from RNAcentral.